AAACGCGUGCAGCUUGCAUGCCUGCAGGUCGACGAUUAGAGUUUGAUCCUGGCUCAGAUUGAACGCUGGCGGCAGGCCUAACACAUGCAAGUCGAGCGGUAGAGAGAAGCUUGCUUCUCUUGAGAGCGGCGGACGGGUGAGUAAUGCCUAGGAAUCUGCCUGGUAGUGGGGGAUAACGUUCGGAAACGGACGCUAAUACCGCAUACGUCCUACGGGAGAAAGCAGGGGACCUUCGGGCCUUGCGCUAUCAGAUGAGCCUAGGUCGGAUUAGCUAGUUGGUGGGGUAAUGGCUCACCAAGGCGACGAUCCGUAACUGGUCUGAGAGGAUGAUCAGUCACACUGGAACUGAGACACGGUCCAGACUCCUACGGGAGGCAGCAGUGGGGAAUAUUGGACAAUGGGCGAAAGCCUGAUCCAGCCAUGCCGCGUGUGUGAAGAAGGUCUUCGGAUUGUAAAGCACUUUAAGUUGGGAGGAAGGGUUGUAGAUUAAUACUCUGCAAUUUUGACGUUACCGACAGAAUAAGCACCGGCUAACUCUGUGCCAGCAGCCGCGGUAAUACAGAGGGUGCAAGCGUUAAUCGGAAUUACUGGGCGUAAAGCGCGCGUAGGUGGUUAGUUAAGUUGGAUGUGAAAUCCCCGGGCUCAACCUGGGAACUGCAUUCAAAACUGACUGGCUAGAGUAUGGUAGAGGGUGGUGGAAUUUCCUGUGUAGCGGUGAAAUGCGUAGAUAUAGGAAGGAACACCAGUGGCGAAGGCGACCACCUGGACUGAUACUGACACUGAGGUGCGAAAGCGUGGGGAGCAAACAGGAUUAGAUACCCUGGUAGUCCACGCCGUAAACGAUGUCAACUAGCCGUUGGGAGCCUUGAGCUCUUAGUGGCGCAGCUAACGCAUUAAGUUGACCGCCUGGGGAGUACGGCCGCAAGGUUAAAACUCAAAUGAAUUGACGGAAU
RNAcentral lists this ribosomal RNA (953 nucleotides) under uncultured bacterium. RNAcentral's name for it is "bacterial SSU rRNA". It matches the Rfam family "Bacterial small subunit ribosomal RNA", at positions 1 to 919 of the family's 1533-position model. The record is from RNAcentral.